UUAGCUUUAAAAAGUGCCUCAGUUUUGUAUAAAAGUCUGUCCAAAUGGCAUUAAAUACGUGGCAGGAGGUUUGAUCUCCAAAGAAAUGGAUAAGGUUUAUACUUCUGAUUGCUGUACAAAGAAUCGUUACUCAUGGAGGUCACUGGAGGUUUUCUGUUUUGAAACUCUCUGAAAUUAUUUUGAAGUUCUGAAAAAGUGCUUAAAAAACUUUGGCGAUGCUGAAGAAGACAGCUGGAAGGCGGAAUCUUUACGGUUUACGUUUUAAGCCAUGAGAAAUUCGAUUAAGAAAUUUGGACACGCCUGGUUUCAUUAUAUUUGUGGAUGCAGCGAUACGGUUCUGUCCAAAAGUCUCCAACAUGUGAAGGAAAAGUUGAACCCCUUGGAGCAAUAAAUGGAGCAUUAAACGAGAAUUUCACAGCAGUUCCUAGCAUUCUUAAUGGAUGCAAUCAACAGGUGGGAAAGGAGUAUUUACGUUUCUUACAAGAUAUUAUAGGGGGCCGUUAAAGAAAUAUUAUGUUCGAGUAUCUGAGUACCAUUAACGAAUACCAACUAUGAGACCAACAUUGUUGAAUGAGAUCAGCAAUACAUCAAUUAUUACUUGUCUCGCUCAAGAGUAUAAUAUUC
RNAcentral lists this long non-coding RNA (624 nucleotides) under Stegodyphus dumicola. RNAcentral's name for it is "uncharacterized LOC118185753, transcript variant X2". The record is from RNAcentral. Lineage: Eukaryota; Metazoa; Arthropoda; Arachnida; Araneae; Eresidae.